GCCCCUGUCGUCCAAUGGCUAGGACAUCACCACUCAACCAAAUGAAAUCUCGGUGAAGAUCGGCGUUCAACUCGUCGUACGGGCG
Non-coding RNA from Zopfochytrium polystomum, 85 nucleotides. The record is from the annotation of a GenBank genome assembly. Lineage: Eukaryota; Fungi; Chytridiomycota; Chytridiomycetes; Chytridiales; Chytridiaceae.